AGCAACAACAACAACAACAAUAGCUUUGGUUAGGGUUUUAAUUUUUUCUCUUCUUACCCAUUACACCAGCCGUCACUCUCUUUCUCCCUCACCCUUACCCUCACCCUCACGUUCGCCUCUCUCUCUCUCUCUCUCUCUCCCUGCCUCCCUCACCUGGCCUUUCCGCCGCCGCCGCCACUUCCCACCCUAGCCAUCGCCGUGCUCUCCCCUUAUUCUCGACUCUCUCUCUCUCCCUCAUCCUCGCCUCUCACUCUCUCCCUCACCCUUGCCACUCUGCCGCCAGCCACCACUGCUGCAGCCCUACUCCUCUUCCCCUUUCCUCCUCUCAUGUCCACCUCCGCCGCUAGUCUCCUCCACCGCCAAUUUUCUAGUACCUCCUCUACCCUUUGUAAUUUUUAUUUUGUAUUUUUUGUUUUUGGGUUUUUUGUUCAAUAUUUAGAGUGUGGGUUUUCUGGAACCUCCUCUACCCAUCGGUUUGGGUUUGUGCUUGUGUUUGAAACGUGGGUUUUAUGUUGACCCAGAGGCGAAGCUCCUGUUUAUCAUUCGCAUUCGUGGUAUCAAUGCCAUGCACCAAAAGACUAGAAAGAUCUUGCAGCUCUUGCGUUUGAGACAGGUAUUACAUGAAACUCACCCCUUAUGGUACUAUAAAAUGGCAUCUGGUUAUUGUAGUUUUUAUUUAUGUUUUUGUGUUGGUCAUGACGGUAAAUAUAUCCUUUUGAAGGCUAAGGCAGGUUCAGACUAUUUGUUUAUUGUACCGAAUAGUUUUAGUAAAAGUACUCGUUUUUAAAGCUAUUUAAGUUUAAGCUCCUUGGGUCAUAGUCUAGAAAUCUUUGAGGCAAAGCUCAAACAUCUAGUGUCAAGGUGUUUGGGUGUAAGCACCUUUUUUAUUUUGACCUUUUAGAACUUUAUAUAAGCAUUAAGUACACACUAUUUCUAGUAGGUUUACUGCUGAAUAGUUUGAAACUUGAAGCCCUUUGUUGUGAGUGUUAUGAAAAGCUAAUCUGAAACUAUGCCUGAUUCUUUUAUUCUGAAUGCUGGGACAUGCCUAAUUAUUUUAUUCUUUUAAUCUGAAACUAUGAUAAGCUAACUGACACUGAAUGCUGAAACUUGGCCCACGUAUUUAGUCAUCAAAGGGAAGUUUCAAUUGCAUUGAAUUCAGCCCAAUAUUUUAAAGAAAAUUAAACAGAGGCAUCAUCCGUGGCCGCCACCUUGCCUCCAUUAAUGACCAGUCGCCUCUUGCUUUCUCCGCUGGAAACAUCACUCUCCUCAGUAAUUCUUUGGGAUUGUAUGAUCCUUAUUCCACUCCUCAAAUAAUCAUUCAAAUAUAUGUUUUUAGUUUAUAUAUAUAUAUUUUGUGUGUGUGUUUUUUAGUGAGCUUUUGAUAUGAUAUUUUUUGGUUUUUUUUAAAAUUUUUUUUUUUUUAUAUGUGAUAUUUUUGAUUCCUGAUAAGAGAAAGAGUUGUUUUUUAGUGGCCAGUUGUAUUAUUGUAAGUAAAAGUUAUAACUUUUUGUGGUCUCCCAACCUAUCCAAAAAGACCCCAAAUGAAUUUUUUUUUUUUUAAUUUUCCUGGGUGACCAAACUGUUUGUUUCAAUUAGGUUAGGUGUACUGACUUUAUUAUUUUAUUUGGUUAAUUAAUUAAUUUAUUUUCUAUGUUUGUUGAUGUUUUAGUUUGCAUUAUGCUAAUGUUUCUUUGGGGAAUCCGAGUUUAUCAUUCUUGGUGGUGUUAGACACAGGCAGUGAUUUGUUCGGGAUACCAUGUGAUUGUCAGAAAAAUGGUUGCGUAAAGGCCUUAUAGUCAUCAUCUGGAGCGGGGUAUGUUGAGUUAAACACAAAUUCUUCAUAGCAGGGAUGGGUUCUGGACAUUGGUUUAAGAUGAUAAUUGGCUCAAAGAAAGGGAAGCGCAGCAGUUCAAAACAAGUAAAGGUCUACUUGCUUCUUUUGUAACUUGGAUCGGCCAAAUGCCACAGUUCGUUCUAGAGGCAGAAAUCCCAAAGGUAUUGACACAAAACCCAAUCUUUAUCUUCUUUUUACAAGAAUGCUUGAUUUUUUUUUUUUUUUUUUAUAAAAAUUUUAUUUACCACUUUAUUGGCUUACACUUUCACAACUUAAAAAAAUUGUGUAAAGAAAAACUAUGUUGGUUUUAUAGUGAGAAAAAGUGAUAAGAAUAAUUGCUGCACUUUGUUUUUUCGUGUGUUUGAAUCUCAUUGGUUUGUGAGUAGUGGGAAAAAAAAGUAGAUCAAUUUGGAAGUUACAACAAUCUGUAAAUAAUUGCCAUAAAGAAUAAGAUAAAAAUUAUGAUCAUAGACUAACUUAGAAAUAAUGUGCAAAACUCUCAAUUUUUGUGAGUUCCACUUAUUAAAAUAAGAAAUAAAAACAUUUUGAAUAGAUAAUGUGAAAUGCAAUUUGCAUGUUAUUGCAAACAAAUCAUUAUAGAUAACCAGUUAACCAUACAUGUAGGACCAUAUGUAUCAAAUUUAUUUAUUUUUUGCUGUAUUAGGUUGCAUUUUGUUCAUUGUUGUGCUCCUAAGGUCUUAGUGGAGCUAAAAUUAAUUAUUACAGGUUAUUUGUAAUAGAAAUAGAAAUGUGGUUUUAAAACCCAGUAGAAAA
This is a long non-coding RNA of Quercus robur (English oak), 2608 nucleotides long. RefSeq lists it as uncharacterized. Lineage: Eukaryota; Viridiplantae; Streptophyta; Magnoliopsida; Fagales; Fagaceae. The record is from RefSeq and is a predicted model, not a curated record. The transcript is spliced from 5 exons.